Molecule: non-coding RNA, 210 nt
Organism: Cinara cedri
Lineage: Eukaryota; Metazoa; Arthropoda; Insecta; Hemiptera; Aphididae
Source: the annotation of a GenBank genome assembly
GCAAGAAUACAAUUGUGGUCGGCUCUUGGUUCAUGAUACGGCGUCUUGCUGUCUUUGAACAGUUUAAACCUUAUAUAAUAUACAAAUGUACAAUGGAUAGAGCCAUUUUGCUAUAAGCAUUAAGCAAUAAAUAUGUCGCAAAUAUAUCAAGAGGGCGUCUCAUUUUUACGCAUGCACUAAGUGCUGUUAUCAGGCUUAUUGUAACCUACU